Molecule: transfer RNA, 79 nt
Filed under: Candidatus Thorarchaeota archaeon
Lineage: Archaea; Promethearchaeati; Candidatus Thorarchaeota
Description: tRNA-Met
Rfam family: tRNA
About the family: Transfer RNA (tRNA) molecules are approximately 80 nucleotides in length.
Source: RNAcentral
AGCGGGUUGGGGAAGCCAGGCCUAUCCCGCGGGGCUCAUAACCCCGAAAUCGGAAGUUCAAAUCUUCCACCCGCUACCA